CCGCACAAGCGGUGAGUAUGUGGUUUAAUUCGAUGCAACGCGAAGAACCUUACCUGGUCUUGACAUCCCGGAGACCCUUAGGAAACUAGGGGGUGCUUCCAUCUGGAAGAAUCUGGAGACAGGUGCUGCAUGGCUGUCGUCAGCUCGUGUCGUGAGAUGUUGGGUUAAGUCCCGCAACGAGCGCAACCCUUGCCUUUAGUUGCCAGCAGUUCGGCUGGGCACUCUAAAGGGACUGCCGGUGUUAAACCAGAGGAAGGUGGGGAUGACGUCAAGUCCUCAUGGCCUUUAUGACCAGGGCUACACACGUACUACAAUGGCCGAUACAAAGGGCAGCGACACUGCGAGGUGAAGCCAAUCCCGUAAAAUCGGUCUCAGUCCGGAUUGGAGUCUGCAACUCGACUCCAUGAAGUUGGAAUCGCUAGUAAUCGUGGAUCAGCAUGCCACGGUGAAUACGUUCCCGGGCCUU
RNAcentral lists this ribosomal RNA (466 nucleotides) under uncultured Desulfobulbus sp. RNAcentral describes it as "bacterial SSU rRNA". It matches the Rfam family "Bacterial small subunit ribosomal RNA", at positions 921 to 1382 of the family's 1533-position model. The record is from RNAcentral. Lineage: Bacteria; Pseudomonadati; Thermodesulfobacteriota; Desulfobulbia; Desulfobulbales; Desulfobulbaceae.